RNAcentral lists this non-coding RNA (120 nucleotides) under Platyophrya macrostoma. The record is from RNAcentral. Lineage: Eukaryota; Ciliophora; Colpodea; Cyrtolophosidida; Platyophryidae.
AAAAAAAAAAAAAAAAAAAAAAAAAUAACAUCCUUUUUCGUGUAGUUCUUCCAUUCCCUCUUCUUACAGCCACCAUUUUGAUCAUUCUACCGGUUUUUGUUCCACAAAUGUUUUAAAGUU